This 497-nucleotide ribosomal RNA is filed under the name uncultured bacterium. RNAcentral's name for it is "partial 16S ribosomal RNA". It matches the Rfam family "Bacterial small subunit ribosomal RNA", at positions 28 to 507 of the family's 1533-position model. The record is from RNAcentral.
GAUGAACGCUGGCGGCGUGCCUAAUACAUGCAAGUCGAGCGAACGGACGAGAAGCUUGCUUCUCUGAUGUUAGCGGCGGACGGGUGAGUAACACGUGGAUAACCUACCUAUAAGACUGGGAUAACUUCGGGAAACCGGAGCUAAUACCGGAUAAUAUUUUGAACCGCAUGGUUCAAAAGUGAAAGACGGUCUUGCUGUCACUUAUAGAUGGAUCCGCGCUGCAUUAGCUAGUUGGUAAGGUAACGGCUUACCAAGGCAACGAUGCAUAGCCGACCUGAGAGGGUGAUCGGCCACACUGGAACUGAGACACGGUCCAGACUCCUACGGGAGGCAGCAGUAGGGAAUCUUCGGCAAUGGGCGAAAGUCUGACGGAGCAACGCCGCGUGAGUGAAGAAGGUUUUCGGAUCGUAAAACUCUGUUAUUAGGGAAGAACAAAUGUGUAAGUAACUGAGCACAUCUUGACGGUACCUAAUCAGAAAGACACGGCUAACUACGUG